RNAcentral lists this ribosomal RNA (253 nucleotides) under uncultured bacterium. RNAcentral's name for it is "partial 16S ribosomal RNA". It matches the Rfam family "Bacterial small subunit ribosomal RNA", at positions 524 to 776 of the family's 1533-position model. The record is from RNAcentral.
UACGGAGGGGGCUAGCGUUGUUCGGAAUUACUGGACGUAAAGCGCGCGUAGGCGGACCUGCAAGUCGGGGGUGAAAGCCCGAGGCUCAACCUCGGAACUGCCUUCGAUACUGCGGGUCUCGAGUCCGGGAGAGGUGAGUGGAAUUCCUAGUGUAGAGGUGAAAUUCGUAGAUAUUAGGAAGAACACCAGUGGCGAAGGCGGCUCACUGGCCCGGUACUGACGCUCAUGCACGAAAGCGUGGGGAGCAAACAGG